AACGAACGCUGGCGGCAUGCCUAACACAUGCAAGUCGAACGGGAUCCUGGCUUCGGCCAGGUGAGAGUGGCGGACGGGUGAGUAACGCGUGGGAACCUGCCCAUUGGUCUGGGAUAACUGCGGGAAACUGCAGCUAAUACCGGAUGUACCCGAGAGGGGAAAGAUUUAUCGCCGAUGGAGGGGCCCGCGUCAGAUUAGGUAGUUGGUGAGGUAACGGCUCACCAAGCCUACGAUCUGUAGCUGGUCUGAGAGGAUGAUCAGCCACACUGGGACUGAGAUACGGCCCAGACUCCUACGGGAGGCAGCAGUGGGGGAAUAUUGGACAAUGGGGGGCAACCCUGAUCCAGCAAUGCCGCGUGAGUGAUGAAGGCCUUAGGGUUGUAAAGCUCUUUUACCAGGGACGAUGAUGACGGUACCUGGAGAAUAAGCCCCGGCUAACUUCGUGCCAGCAGCCGCGGUAAU
Molecule: ribosomal RNA, 462 nt
Filed under: uncultured bacterium
Lineage: Bacteria
Description: bacterial SSU rRNA
Rfam family: Bacterial small subunit ribosomal RNA
Source: RNAcentral